This is a long non-coding RNA of Chrysemys picta bellii (western painted turtle), 1636 nucleotides long. The record is from Ensembl. Lineage: Eukaryota; Metazoa; Chordata; Testudines; Emydidae.
AUGAUGCGCUGCCUUAGCAAGCGACUUACCCAGCCUGAAGUUCUGGCGAGAGCGUCACCGCCGCCCCUUUUGUCGUUCGUGACGGAAACGGAGCCACAAACGAAUGCGACUGGGCGUAAACGUCACCCAGUCGGCAGCGGAAACCGAGCUUUGAACCCGAACUGGCCAGCGGGUUUUCUCUGUUCCGUCGGCUCGUCGAGUUGCCAAACGGCCGUAGCCGUCCGGACGGUCGCCACGGUGAAUCGAAGUAACUUGGCCGCGGCCUGUCCUCCUGGCAGUGUUGUAAGAUGGGACGAAAUGGGAAAGCUGCAGUCUCUGUAUUGCACUUCCAAUGUCCUUCUCACCCCAGCAGCGCCUGCAGGGAAAGCCGCAGCUGCCUCUCUUCGGAGAAUGCGGGUUCUCGCGCAGAAGAAACGGCCUUUCCUGGCUGCCGAGCUGGGACAGGAGGGCACGCUGGACGUGCGGGGGGAGCUUUUUGCCAGAGGUAAAAACAAAGGUGACACUGAACCUUCCACGGGAGGUAACUUGAGGGUUGUUUGUCAGCACUGCUUUCCGAUUUACAAAACGCCAAACGCCUCUGACUCUGGACGAAUCGAGCGAUUGACGGGACACUGCCCAGCCAUCGCUGUUUGCUAGAAUUUGAGCUAUAUUUUAAAACCCCAGAGGAUUUGCUUUUAUUCGCCAUCCGUUUGUCCGUGCCCCAGGGACCUCGCCCUUCUCAAGCACCGAACCUUCUCAAGCCAAUUGCCGAAGGGGUCUUUCAAUUUCCAGCGCUCAGAUGUCUUGGCAAAAUUCAGAGCGGUGGGUCUUGGUGAUAGCAUAAGAACAUCCAGGCCAGGUCAGACCAAAGGUCCAUCUAGCCCAGUGUCCAAUGCCAGGUGCCGCAGAGGGGAUGAACAGAACAGGGAAUCAUCCAGUGAUCCAUCCGCCGUCGCCCAUUCCCAGCUUCUGAGCUUAAUAUGCUGACCAGUUUGGGGAUGGUUAAAAGAUAGAUGGCUAGAUUCGGAUCAACGUCCUUCUGCCUCCCUGGGUUUUCCACCGGGAACACGAUGAAAAACCCAGCACCCCAAUCGCCUGACGGACGUCCGCCUUGCCCUGACCACUCUCAGCGUGCCCUAGAUCGCUGCCGUCCCCUCUCCCGUUGGAGAGUGCCACCCACAGGGGCUAAUGUCCGUUUGCAAACUUCAUUAGAAGAUAGAAACGCUCCUCCUGUUGUCAAUCAAGGUCUUUAUUUACACGCAGCUGAAAUGUUUUUCAUUUUAUUUGGUCAGCUACUACCGCCCGCCUCUCGUCCUGACAUUCUCCGAUGGGCCGGGGGCCGAUCAAAUGGAGUAUCACGGGUGAGGCCCUCCUGUGUGGCCUGGGGCCAGUGCUGGGUGUGGUGGGGGGACGGGGAGCCCAGCACAUCCAUCUUGAGCAAGUCCCCUUCACGUGGCUCCAGAGAGCCGUGGGGGGCGUCUGUCCCUGGAGCAGGCUGUGCCCGUUGAAAGGCUCCUGCGGGGGCGGGGAGGGGAGCAACGAGGGGCCGCCGUUCGCAGAGGUGGGGUGACCCCUGCCCGUGUGGCUGUGAGCUCUGGUGGGUCCGUCUGGUCUUAUGCUUAAGUUGCUGUUAUUUAUUAGGUGGGGGAGGACGGGA